RNAcentral lists this unclassified non-coding RNA (243 nucleotides) under Persicaria virginiana. RNAcentral's name for it is "ITS2". Lineage: Eukaryota; Viridiplantae; Streptophyta; Magnoliopsida; Caryophyllales; Polygonaceae. The record is from RNAcentral.
ACCGCGUCGCCCCCCACCCCAAACCAAGGGGACAGGGGGCGGAUUAUGGCCCCCCGUGCGCUCCCCGCUCGCGGUCGGCCUAAACACAGACCCCGUGGCCGCGAAACGCCGCGACGAUUGGUGGUUUACUUGUGGCCUCGUGCCCCAAGCAUCGCGUCGCGGCCUUGGCGUCCCACGGGCGCUCAGAGGACCCCCAGGAGGACCCCCGUCGCCCCGAGUGCCGGGGAGGAUCUCCCAACCGUU